Molecule: long non-coding RNA, 1765 nt
Organism: Poecile atricapillus (Black-capped chickadee)
Lineage: Eukaryota; Metazoa; Chordata; Aves; Passeriformes; Paridae
Exons: 3
Source: RefSeq, a predicted model, not a curated record
CCAGCCCAGGAUGCCAGAGGACAGGUUCCGUGCAGAGAGGCAGAGCCGAAGUUUGCGAUCGGCCGCACCGAAGCCGGCGCGGGGGACGUCUCGACGUACGCAUCCUAUCGAGGAUGGGUCUUGUCCUAUUACGUUACAAAAGGUCUCUGAUGCCUAUUUUCUGAGGAUCUACCAUUUGAUGUUGAGAAGCAGCAGCGAGAAGAUGUCUCGGGGCAUUUUGUGCAGCACAGUGUUUCAAAUAAGGGUUGCGGUCACUGUGUGAGUUAGAGUCUCCUGCUGUGUGUCAGGGCGUGUCUGUCUGUGAGAGUCGGUGGGUCUGGGUGUGCUUGUGUGUGUGCGUGUUGUGCGGUUCUAACCUUGUGUGUAUUGCUUUUGCUUUUCAGGACUUUAAAUUCACUUUUAAAUUUAGAAUAAAAAAUCCCCAGCUGGGGGGGUUUUUUUUUUUCCCUCCCAGCUGGGGUUUUUUUUUCCUCGGUCCCGGCCGGUUGGCGAGGCGACAGUCAUCGCCUAAGUUUGGGCACGGACCGGCCCCGGACCGGGGUUUUCGUCAGGCAGGCUGAUUUUUGAGGCCCCUGGGAACCGAGUUCCCGUGGGGUAGGAGGGGGGUGUGUGUGUGUGUGUGUGUGUGUGUUGUGCGGUUCUAACCUUGUGUGUAUUGCUUUUGCUUUUCAGGACUUUAAAUUCACUUUUAAAUUUAGAAUAAAAAAUCCCCAGCUGGGGGGGUUUUUUUUUUUUCCCUCCCAGCUGGGGUUUUUUUUCCUCGGUCCCGGCCGGUCUGCGAGGCGACAGUCAUCGCCUAAGUUUGGGCACGGACCGGCCCCGGACCGGGGUUUUCGUCAGGCAGGCUGAUUUUGAGGCCCCCGGGAACCGAGUUCCCGUGGGGUAGGAGGGGUGUGUGUUGUGCGGUUCUAACCUUGUGUGUAUUGCUUUUCAGGACUUUAAAUUCACUUUUAAAUUUAGAAUAAAAAAUCCCCAGCUGGGGGGGUUUUUUUUUUUUCCCUCCCAGCUGGGGUUUUUUUUCCUCGGUCCCGGCCGGUCUGCGAGGCGACAGUCAUCGCCUAAGUUUGGGCACGGACCGGCCCCGGACCGGGGUUUUCGUCAGGCAGGCUGAUUUAUGAGGCCCCCGGGAACCGAGUUCCCGUGGGGUAGGAGGGGUGUGUGUUGUGCGGUUCUAACCUUGCGUGUAUUGCUUUUCAGGACUUUAAAUUCACUUUUAAAUUUAGAAUAAAAAAUCCCCAGCUGGGGGGGUUUUUUUUUUUUCCCUCCCAGCUGGGGUUUUUUUUUCCUCGGUCCCGGCCGGUCUGCGAGGCGACAGUCAUCGCCUAAGUUUGGGCACGGACCGGCCCCGGACCGGGGUUUUCGUCAGGCAGGCCGAUUUCGAGGCUCCCGGGAACCACGUUCCCGAGGACCACCGCCAGCAGGGUUAUAACGGGGCGGUUGAGAGGAGAGCGAAGGUGAGCGUGUGUGUGAGCAGAAGCCGGCUUCUGUGGCGAAUGAGUAUUGUGUUUUCUGCGUGCUCCUUGUGGUUUGGGGGAGCGGUAAUAAUGAAACAGCAUGUAUUGUCCUUUUCAGAAAUGGUUAUAUUACGUUAAUAUGUAUUUGGCUUGUAUUGUUCUGUAUUUGCUGCUGUGUUUCUCUGUAUUGUUCUGUAUGUGAAUUAGGAGUUUUUCAGCGUGUACAGCAAUUGUAUUGUAUUGUAAUGCAUUUGUAUCCAGUUUCUAUGUGUUUUUCUGUACUGUAAAUAAAUUCAUUCAAUAAAGUUGCC